This 253-nucleotide ribosomal RNA is filed under the name uncultured bacterium. Its description in RNAcentral is "partial 16S ribosomal RNA". It matches the Rfam family "Bacterial small subunit ribosomal RNA", at positions 524 to 776 of the family's 1533-position model. The record is from RNAcentral.
GACAGAGGGUGCGAACGUUGCUCGGAAUCACUGGGCGUAAAGCGCGUGUAGGCGGCCAGGUAGGUCCGUUGUGAAAACCCGAGGCUUAACCUCGGGACGCCGACGGAAACCAUCUGGCUAGGGUCCGGAAGAGGAGAGUGGAAUUCCCGGUGUAGCGGUGAAAUGCGCAGAUAUCGGGAAGAACACCCGUGGCGAAGGCGGCUCUCUGGGACGGUACCGACGCUGAGACGCGAAAGCGUGGGGAGCGAACAGG